CAGGGAGACAACACAAUGAUUUUGAUGCCUGAGUGCUUUUAUUCUUAGGCCGAAAUCCUGUCACCUUAGGUCGAUCGGUACCUCAGCUUUGAAGUUAAGGAUCAGCAGCAAUGUUGAUUGCUUGAUGGAGAUUUUCAGUUCCUAAACUUUGUCUAGGUCACACCCCAAAAGGGAUGAGACUCCUGGGCCAUUAGCUCAGGUGGUUAGAGCGCACCCCUGAUAAGGGUGAGGUCCCUGGUUCAAGUCCAGGAUGGCCCAUAUCUCUAUGUUGGGGGUAUAGCUCAGUUGGUAGAGCGCCUGCUUUGCAAGCAGGAUGUCAGCGGUUCGAGUCCGCUUACCUCCACUGAUUACCACCUCUUCCAUAAUCGGUAGAAAGGAAAUGUUUUGAGUUGUGAUCAAAUUCUGAAAGAAUCUAGCUUCCUAAUGAAAUCAUUAAGAUGCUGGACUCAUUGAAUUAAUUUCAUUGUUUUCAGAGAACCUUGACAACUGCAUAGAUUAUUUUUAAAGACAAUAAGCAUCUUUAAUGAUGCAGAUUUAUUAUUUGUGCGAAUGCAUUAAUAACAAUUCUAUCAAGCUGAUGCUUCAAUUUUUGAAGUUAUU
RNAcentral lists this transfer RNA (600 nucleotides) under uncultured cyanobacterium. Its description in RNAcentral is "partial 16S-23S ribosomal RNA intergenic spacer". The stretch from base 271 to 343 matches the Rfam family "tRNA". The record is from RNAcentral. Lineage: Bacteria; Bacillati; Cyanobacteriota.